Molecule: non-coding RNA, 84 nt
Organism: Podarcis lilfordi (Lilford's wall lizard)
Lineage: Eukaryota; Metazoa; Chordata; Lepidosauria; Squamata; Lacertidae
Source: the annotation of a GenBank genome assembly
CGCAGCUAUCGCUGAAGCCAGGAGAGCAAGAGGGAUCGGUGCGCACCAAUCCCUCUUGCUCUUCUGGCUUCAGGGAUAGCCGCG